Long non-coding RNA from Nannospalax galili (Upper Galilee mountains blind mole rat), 382 nucleotides. RefSeq lists it as uncharacterized. The record is from RefSeq and is a predicted model, not a curated record. Lineage: Eukaryota; Metazoa; Chordata; Mammalia; Rodentia; Spalacidae. The transcript is spliced from 3 exons.
AGUUGGUAGCUAUGGUGACGUUGUUACGGCACGGAGGUGCGUGCGCAGCUCGUAGGUAUGGCUGGCGGUUCUUGGUCCACCCCAGGUGUGGCCCCUGAGCUUUCUUCAUCCGCCGUCAUCACGGAUCCCGGAUGAUGUCGUGCUUUUCUAAGUCUGGGAAAUCCCACGAUUCUAGAACUAGAAGGGAGCUGAGGCCAUUGCUGCAUUGGUUGGCAGGCUGUUGUGUGGAAUUUCUGCCAGGGAUUUUGGAGCCAGCUAGAGUGAAGUGGAAGCAUGAAGAUCAGGAGAUCAGGUCAGCCCUGAGUUUGAGGCCAGCCUGAGCUACAUGAGACCCUGUCUCUAAAUAAAUAAAUAAUAAAUAAAUAAAUACAGCUUUAACUAU